Molecule: ribosomal RNA, 208 nt
Filed under: uncultured bacterium
Lineage: Bacteria
Description: partial 16S ribosomal RNA
Rfam family: Bacterial small subunit ribosomal RNA
Source: RNAcentral
UCGGAUUGCAGCCUGCAACUCGGCUGCAUGAAGCUGGAAUCGCUAGUAAUCGCGGAUCAGAAUGCCGCGGUGAAUACGUUCCCGGGUCUUGUACACACCGCCCGUCACACCAUGGGAGUCGGGAAUGCCCGAAGUCAGUGACCCAACCGAAAGGGGGGAGCUGUCGAAGGCAGGCCUGGUAACUGGGGUGAAGUCGUAACAAGGUACC